RNAcentral lists this ribosomal RNA (499 nucleotides) under uncultured bacterium. Its description in RNAcentral is "partial 16S ribosomal RNA". It matches the Rfam family "Bacterial small subunit ribosomal RNA", at positions 28 to 507 of the family's 1533-position model. The record is from RNAcentral.
GACGAACGCUGGCGGCGUGCCUAAUACAUGCAAGUCGAGCGGACUGAAUGGGAGCUUGCUCUUGUUCGGUCAGCGGCGGACGGGUGAGUAACACGUGGGCAACCUGCCCGCAAGACCGGAAUAACUCCGGGAAACCGGAGCUAAUACCGGAUAACACCGAAGACCGCAUGGUCUUUGGUUGAAAGGCGGCGCAAGCUGCCACUUGCGGAUGGGCCCGCGGCGCAUUAGCUAGUUGGUGAGGUAACGGCUCACCAAGGCGACGAUGCGUAGCCGGCCUGAGAGGGUGACCGGCCACACUGGGACUGAGACACGGCCCAGACUCCUACGGGAGGCAGCAGUAGGGAAUCUUCCGCAAUGGGCGAAAGCCUGACGGAGCGACGCCGCGUGAGCGAAGAAGGCCUUCGGGUCGUAAAGCUCUGUUGUGAGGGACGAAGGAGCGCCGUUUGAAGAAGGCGGCGCGGUGACGGUACCUCACGAGGAAGCCCCGGCUAACUACGUG